GGUGGGGGCGGUGCCUCUAGGCCUGGUGAUGGGAGGAGACCCGCCGCCACGUCCAGAAGGCGAGGAAGAGAGGGAGAGUUUGACUGCCAGACUGACGUGGCCCCAUCAGAUACAAGCACAGAGAGCCAUUGCAGAGUGUUCAGCCAGUGUGACCCCACCAAAUGUCAUCUCUGCCGAGAUUUCCGCUCCAUCGGGAGUCAUGGACGUCCCUGAAGAGGCCGCGCUGUUAAUGGAGGGUGUAGUGAAGGGAGGAUACCCUGUAGACAUUCCCACUCAAUCAACUGUAGACUUGACAAGCAUUGGCCAGUCAGAAUUAGGAUGUGAAAGCGCUUUUAACAAAUCUAGACUAGAGCCCGGUGCUGUUGAACAGUUUAAAGUGGGCUACACAGUUUUAGACAAACGUGAGGAACAGAACUUUCCUUCCAGCAUCAGUGAUGUAAUCCGGCCAAUGGAGAUGGCAGAGUUGGUGGACAUCUUGCCCACGCUGAGUCUCAUUGAGGAAGAGACGCCCAGUGGCCUGUCCUCACCAUCAGUUAUGGAUAUGCUAGAGAGCUUCGGACUGAGGAUCGGCGAAAGCAAAACCUUCUUCGACUUGGAGAAUUCAGACUUGAUCAACGGAGCCGGGUGUCUGUCAAAGCCCAACCCGGACUGUAACAGCACCAGUAGCGUGACAGAAACUCACUGUAAGAACUCGGGCAUGUUGGCCUUCCAUGGCAAGGUGAAUGCCACAGGUGGCGACGUGUCUGUUAUGAGCUGGCAUUUUCCUCCAGAGGAUACAGAGACUCAGCAGGUUCCCAGCAAGGGAGCGUGCUUUACGUUAAGACACCAGGUGGAGUGGGACAGACCUGCUGACAGUUCUUCCUGAUAUCGACUCAAGCACCAGCCUACUUUGUAAAAAACCAAAUCAGUAGGCUGCAGCAUAGUUGAUUUACAGACAGAAAAUCCUAGUUGGACAUUUUUUAUUUUGUCGAUCAGUGUCCAACAUUUAAUAUGAACUGCUGUGGAGGUAAAUUGUGGAGGAAAAUUCAAGUGACAUCGAAAUACAACUUCAUCUAACACAUGAUUUAUGUGGUUUGCACAUUUCUGGGCCUCUAGUUCAUAUUUUCUAAUAUUCAGUUCACUGGAGCUUAUUGUGUGGAAAAACUAAACUAUAGUCAUAGUUUUUAUGACUUGAAGCUCCAUCACUCACUACAGGACAAAGCAACAUUGCUGCUCAGUGGAGCUAGUAAACAAACUCAUUAAAAUGGAAAUGUUUGCUUUGCAGUCUAUAAAAGGCUGCCAUGCUGUACUGUAUGUGUAGUAAAUCGUUGUGUUUCUCUUUGGUUUACCUGUGUGCACUUUGGCAUUACAUAACAAAACAGAAGCAAGAUUUAUAAUCCUGUUGCUUAUAUAUUAACUGCUGUCGGUCCUACCGAGUUCUACCGGUUCCUGCCAGUUCUGAUAUCCAAGUUCUGAGCCCAGAUAUGGACAGAUAAUGAGAGAAGAAACGCAUGUUGCGUGGGUGCUGCAAGAAAACCAAACUCAAGAUGUGAACUUACAGUUGUGAGAAGGACGUAGAGGAUCAUUUCUUCUUCAGUUUCCUUAGUUACGGUAUUUUCACCAAUGAUCCUUCACUACAAAUGCCUAUACAAAAGCAGGAUUUCAAAAAGUACUCAAAAGUUUCUUUUAUUUGCCUACUACAUUACAAUUGUCUGGGCCUCAAUUUGUUAAGGAAAAUGCAAGCCAUUCAAAUUCCCACAUUCAUGUCUGCUCUUUUUUGCUUCGGAGAUUUGUUCUCACAUUGUUGUAUCUGUAUCUUUACCUCCUUCUGCAUGGCAGAGAUUGAACUACAGCCAAGGAAACACGCACACAGCUUUUUUAAUGUUUUGGUAGUAACCAAAGAGAGAGUGAGCGAAUUGUGAUGAUUGGAUAAAGAGUUUGUGUGUCAAAGGGAAUUACAGGGACAAUGCAGACAACACAGACUGGAAUAAAGGCUGGAGAGAAAUAUUAAGGCGCAUGUGACAAGUGUCAGAGUGAGGUGAAGGUUUUCCUGCUUGAAUCUCUGCUUUUGUCUUGACAACGGAGCGGUGAAAUAAAGUGAUGUAUUCGAGGCAUACUGAAAUGACAAGAAAAGAUUACAGUUGAACAGAAUGAGCUUUUCCUUAUAUGGCUCCAUAUAUGGCUGUUUUUUAUUAGGAGGUAUUAUCUUUGGUAGGAAAAUGAUAAAUACUUAAGUGAGUUAAAACAUUCAAACUUCAUGAAUGGUCAUUAUGUAUUCAACUGUUAAGUCAGUUGAACUGCUGCCCAAACUACUGUUGUUAAAAAUCCUAUUAAAUACUGCCUGCUUUAGCAUUCUAUGUUUGCAUUCCCUAAAUGUCUUCUAUUGUGUGUGUAAAAAGGGGAAUAAAUCAAUGUUUGUAGC
This 2401-nucleotide long non-coding RNA is filed under the name Sander lucioperca (pikeperch). Its description in RNAcentral is "lncRNA (ENSSLUG00000021770.1)". Lineage: Eukaryota; Metazoa; Chordata; Actinopteri; Perciformes; Percidae. The record is from RNAcentral.